UACGUAGGUGGCGAGCGUUGUCCGGGUUUACUGGGUGUAAAGGGCGCGUAGGCGGGUGAGCAAGUCAGUUGUGAAAUACCGAGGCUUAGCUUCGGAGCUGCGAUUGAAACUGUUCAUCUUGAGUGUCGGAGGGGAAAGCGGAAUUCCUAGUGUAGCGGUGAAAUGCGUAGAUAUUAGGAGGAACACCAGUGGCGAAGGCGGCUUUCUGGACGAUAACUGACGCUGAGGCGCGAAAGUGUGGGGAGCAAAC
RNAcentral lists this ribosomal RNA (250 nucleotides) under uncultured prokaryote. RNAcentral describes it as "partial 16S ribosomal RNA". It matches the Rfam family "Bacterial small subunit ribosomal RNA", at positions 524 to 773 of the family's 1533-position model. The record is from RNAcentral.